GGAAGGGUGACCGAGCGGCUUAAGGUGGUGGUCUUGAAAACCACUGUGCGGCAACGNNGGUUCGAAUCCUCUCCCUUCCG
Molecule: transfer RNA, 80 nt
Filed under: Phycisphaerales bacterium
Lineage: Bacteria; Pseudomonadati; Planctomycetota; Phycisphaerae; Phycisphaerales
Description: tRNA-Ser
Rfam family: tRNA
About the family: Transfer RNA (tRNA) molecules are approximately 80 nucleotides in length. Their secondary structure includes four short double-helical elements and three loops (D, anti-codon, and T loops).
Source: RNAcentral